UUAAGCGACUAAGCGUACACGGUGGAUGCCCUGGCAGUCAGAGGCGAUGAAGGACGUGCUAAUCUGCGAUAAGCGUCGGUGAGGUGAUAUGAACCGUUAUAACCGGCGAUUUCCGAAUGGGGAAACCCAGUGUGUUUCGACACACUAUCAUUAACUGAAUCCAUAGGUUAAUGAGGCGAACCGGGGGAACUGAAACAUCUAAGUACCCCGAGGAAAAGAAAUCAACCGAGAUUCCCCCAGUAGCGGCGAGCGAACGGGGAGGAGCCCAGAGCCUGAAUCAGUGUGUGUGUUAGUGGAAGCGUCUGGAAAGGCGUGCGAUACAGGGUGACAGCCCCGUACACAAAAAUGCACAUAUUGUGAGCUCGAUGAGUAGGGCGGGACACGUGGUAUCCUGUCUGAAUAUGGGGGGACCAUCCUCCAAGGCUAAAUACUCCUGACUGACCGAUAGUGAACCAGUACCGUGAGGGAAAGGCGAAAAGAACCCCGGCGAGGGGAGUGAAAAAGAACCUGAAACCGUGUACGUACAAGCAGUGGGAGCCUCUUAAUGGGGUGACUGCGUACCUUUUGUAUAAUGGGUCAGCGACUUAUAUUCUGUAGCAAGGUUAACCGAAUAGGGGAGCCGAAGGGAAACCGAGUCUUAACUGGGCGUUAAGUUGCAGGGUAUAGACCCGAAACCCGGUGAUCUAGCCAUGGGCAGGUUGAAGGUUGGGUAACACUAACUGGAGGACCGAACCGACUAAUGUUGAAAAAUUAGCGGAUGACUUGUGGCUGGGGGUGAAAGGCCAAUCAAACCGGGAGAUAGCUGGUUCUCCCCGAAAGCUAUUUAGGUAGCGCCUCGUGAAUUCAUCUCCGGGGGUAGAGCACUGUUUCGGCAAGGGGGUCAUCCCGACUUACCAACCCGAUGCAAACUGCGAAUACCGGAGAAUGUUAUCACGGGAGACACACGGCGGGUGCUAACGUCCGUCGUGAAGAGGGAAACAACCCAGACCGCCAGCUAAGGUCCCAAAGUCAUGGUUAAGUGGGAAACGAUGUGGGAAGGCCCAGACAGCCAGGAUGUUGGCUUAGAAGCAGCCAUCAUUUAAAGAAAGCGUAAUAGCUCACUGGUCGAGUCGGCCUGCGCGGAAGAUGUAACGGGGCUAAACCAUGCACCGAAGCUGCGGCAGCGACACUAUGUGUUGUUGGGUAGGGGAGCGUUCUGUAAGCCUGUGAAGGUGGCCUGUGAGGGUUGCUGGAGGUAUCAGAAGUGCGAAUGCUGACAUAAGUAACGAUAAAGCGGGUGAAAAGCCCGCUCGCCGGAAGACCAAGGGUUCCUGUCCAACGUUAAUCGGGGCAGGGUGAGUCGACCCCUAAGGCGAGGCCGAAAGGCGUAGUCGAUGGGAAACAGGUUAAUAUUCCUGUACUUGGUGUUACUGCGAAGGGGGGACGGAGAAGGCUAUGUUGGCCGGGCGACGGUUGUCCCGGUUUAAGCGUGUAGGCUGGUUUUCCAGGCAAAUCCGGAAAACCAAGGCUGAGGCGUGAUGACGAGGCACUACGGUGCUGAAGUGACAAAUGCCCUGCUUCCAGGAAAAGCCUCUAAGCAUCAGGUAACAUCAAAUCGUACCCCAAACCGACACAGGUGGUCAGGUAGAGAAUACCAAGGCGCUUGAGAGAACUCGGGUGAAGGAACUAGGCAAAAUGGUGCCGUAACUUCGGGAGAAGGCACGCUGAUAUGUAGGUGAAGCGACUUGCUCGUGGAGCUGAAAUCAGUCGAAGAUACCAGCUGGCUGCAACUGUUUAUUAAAAACACAGCACUGUGCAAACACGAAAGUGGACGUAUACGGUGUGACGCCUGCCCGGUGCCGGAAGGUUAAUUGAUGGGGUUAGCGGCAACGCGAAGCUCUUGAUCGAAGCCCCGGUAAACGGCGGCCGUAACUAUAACGGUCCUAAGGUAGCGAAAUUCCUUGUCGGGUAAGUUCCGACCUGCACGAAUGGCGUAAUGAUGGCCAGGCUGUCUCCACCCGAGACUCAGUGAAAUUGAACUCGCUGUGAAGAUGCAGUGUACCCGCGGCAAGACGGAAAGACCCCGUGAACCUUUACUAUAGCUUGACACUGAACAUUGAGCCUUGAUGUGUAGGAUAGGUGGGAGGCUUUGAAGUGUGGACGCCAGUCUGCAUGGAGCCGGCCUUGAAAUACCACCCUUUAAUGUUUGAUGUUCUAACGUGGGCCCGUUAUCCGGGUUGCGGACAGUGUCUGGUGGGUAGUUUGACUGGGGCGGUCUCCUCCUAAAGAGUAACGGAGGAGCACGAAGGUUGGCUAAUCCUGGUCGGACAUCAGGAGGUUAGUGCAAUGGCAUAAGCCAGCUUGACUGCGAGCGUGACGGCGCGAGCAGGUGCGAAAGCAGGUCAUAGUGAUCCGGUGGUUCUGAAUGGAAGGGCCGAUCGCUCAACGGAUAAAAGGUAACUCCGGGGAUAACAGGCUGAUACCGCCCAAGAGUUCAUAUCGACGGCGGUGUUUGGCACCUCGAUGUCGGCUCAUCACAUCCUGGGGCUGAAGUAGGUCCCAAGGGUAUGGCUGUUCGCCAUUUAAAGUGGUACGCGAGCUGGGUUUAGAACGUCGUGAGACAGUUCGGUCCCUAUCUGCCGUGGGCGCUGGAGAACUGAGGGGGGCUGCUCCUAGUACGAGAGGACCGGAGUGGACGCAUCACUGGUGUUCGGGUUGUCAUGCCAAUGGCACUGCCCGGUAGCUAAAUGCGGAAGAGAUAAGUGCUGAAAGCAUCUAAGCACGAAACUUGCCCCGAGAUGAGUUCUCCCUGACCCUUUAAGGGUCCUGAAGGAACGUUGAAGACGACGACGUUGAUAGGCCGGGUGUGUAAGCGCAGCGAUGCGUUGAGCUAACCGGUACUAAUGAACCGUGAGGCUUAACCUU
This 2904-nucleotide ribosomal RNA is filed under the name Escherichia coli DEC1D. RNAcentral's name for it is "bacterial LSU rRNA". It matches the Rfam family "Bacterial large subunit ribosomal RNA". Lineage: Bacteria; Pseudomonadati; Pseudomonadota; Gammaproteobacteria; Enterobacterales; Enterobacteriaceae. The record is from RNAcentral.